CCCGCAUGGGCCUGAGGCCCGUUUUUCUUUUCUUUGGCCCAGCCCCUUUCCUUUCUUCUUCUUCCUUCCUCCUUCCCCCCUCCGCCUCUGCAAUUCACGAGCAGCAACGACGACGCGCUGGAGGACGGCCUACAGGGAAGAGAGAGGAGUAGGCCGGCAGCAGAUGGGACGCACUGUCAAAGCGGAGCAAGUGGGCAACUGAGGAGACGCCGGUUCGGCCGCACCAAGGCGGUCGGCGUGCCAAGGACCGGCGGCCGAAGCCUCCGUCGACCGGCCCCCCUUUGCCUAUAAAUAGGGAAUCGUGGGGAAGGCCAAAGACACACGGAAGGAGCGAGCUCAGACGACUUCCCUCGAGAGACAUCAGGGGAGGCCCGAAAGCGAGCGAGAUCUGAACAGAGAGAUCUGAGUGAGGGCGAGUUUUGAGAGUCGGUGAGAGCAAAGGCGAGCCUUCGGCAACCUUCGCACCGACGGACCAACGUCGCGCCGUCCCGAAGCCAGACCGUAAGCUCCCUCCCGACCCCUGUCUUUGCCCUGUUUGGGGCACGCUAAGCCGGAGCUUGCGGCCGUCCAGCCACCGCGAGCUCCGGCCUUGUCAUGGCGUUGCUGGCCAGGCGAGGGCAGGGCGCUCGGCUUGGGUCGGCUGAGGCGACGCCGGUGGACACCCUCAGCCGGGCCGAGGCGACUGACGCCACUCGUGUCAGCCGUCUCCGUCGCUGAGAGGAGAGGGGCGCGAUGCCGGGUAGGGAACCGGGUCGGAUGCGGGUCUUGGCCGGGUAGGGUUCAGCUGCUGGGAGAGAGAAGUGGGCUGGGCUUGUUUUUAUUUGGUUCUGGGUCUAACUCGCGGGCCGGGCAUGUCUUUUAAUGGAAAGUGGGCUUGAUUUGUUUGGACUUCGAUUAUUUUAAAAAAAAGAUGGAG
Molecule: long non-coding RNA, 916 nt
Filed under: Eucalyptus grandis
Lineage: Eukaryota; Viridiplantae; Streptophyta; Magnoliopsida; Myrtales; Myrtaceae
Description: long non-coding RNA (EGRA_LNC002106)
Source: RNAcentral